GAUCACCAUCUCAUCUGCGAGGUACAAGUAGAUCGUACUCACCGUCUGCAUUUGGAGCUACCUCCAAUCCUCUACUUCCAUGGUAGUCAGCUUCUCAUCGCACAAGAGAGUAUCGAUCAAUCUUUGCUAGAUGAGCAUGUCUUUCUCCCUCGUCUGUCACAAAAAAAAAUUACUCUUUUCAUCAAAUCUAUUGAUUUUCAUCUUGAUUGUGCUUGUCUUCUCUAUCUUCUAUC
This 233-nucleotide long non-coding RNA is filed under the name Elaeis guineensis (African oil palm). RNAcentral describes it as "long non-coding RNA (EGUI_LNC029823)". The record is from RNAcentral. Lineage: Eukaryota; Viridiplantae; Streptophyta; Magnoliopsida; Arecales; Arecaceae.